This 1245-nucleotide long non-coding RNA is filed under the name Betta splendens (Siamese fighting fish). RNAcentral describes it as "lncRNA (ENSBSLG00000006631.1)". Lineage: Eukaryota; Metazoa; Chordata; Actinopteri; Anabantiformes; Osphronemidae. The record is from RNAcentral.
AUGCCACUGGGAGCCGGUGUAUCCCGUCAAGUCACUCAUCAGGUCACCGCAAAGCGACUGAACGAAGGCUGGGGUCACCAUGAACGUCCCCCCCCACACCGCCCCCCACUGAGCCCACCUCUCCAGCUCAUCCCUGUCGCCGUGGGGCCUGAAAGGUCAGCUGUCAUCGAGACUCAUUACGAGGAACAGAAACUGGACCAGACAGGAAGAGUGUGUGUGGGUGUGCAUGUGCGUGUGCUUGUUUGUGAUACGACUGAAGGUGGAUGAUUCAGGCUGCACACGCUCUAGACUCUGUCAAAGCCUUUCUCUCACACACACACACACACACACACACACACACACACACACACACACACACACACACACACACAGACUGUGACUCCUAAUGUUUGUUCUGCUUUCUGUGAUUCUUGAUCCAGGCAGAGCCAGUUCAUCACCCUCACUGACACAGAUUUACUACUGUGUCCUUGCCCACGUCUGAGCUCCUGAGAUCCACCUUCGCUCGCUGGCAGCCAGAUUGUGUCAGGCAUGUGGCGCCUCCGCCCACCACCACGUUUUUUUUAUUCAGAGCCAUAAAACAAGCAGCAUGAUCUAUGUUUUUUACUGCUAAUCGCGUGUCCCUUCGUCCUAAUUAAGCUGGUUUGCCCAAACCGGAAGCUCAACGGGACACGCACCUUCCACUGCACCACGUCACGAAGGGUGUGUGUGCGUGUGCGUGUGUGUGUGUCACGCAGCCCACGCGCACGUGUAUCCCGCUGUCAGCGAAUUCUUCAGAGAGAUAACCUUGAAGGAAAGGCUGUGUGCUCAGCUCUGAUACUGAAUACCAAGCUGAGGCAGGCUCAGCGUCUGCGUGGCUGGAGCUUCAGGGAGACCUUUAGCCACUUCUGCAGCACUUAAUCCCAGGGUUGCCGUGAGGUGAGGUGGGCUGGAGUGGAGGCACUGCUCAGAUCGCUGAUGCUCGACUCCGGAAUCGCUUCCCUCUGUAAAUUCACAUACUGUAUUUGGAUCUGAUAAUUCCCUAAAUUCCCACACACGGCUCUAGGAUGCAUCCUGAUUGGCUGCGUGUCAGCGUUGGGCUUUGUUGCUGUUGCUCUCAGCCAGUGGCCUCUACCUCUACUCCCCCAGUCCGCCUUCCUCCCCUUCCUCACGCUGCACUUUCUCCCUGCCAUUUAGCCCAAGUUAAUGGACUCCUGCGCAUUCAGCUUAGCAAUGUUGUGAAAUAAACAGCAGCUCAUGAAAUAUUCA